AACGUAGGAGACAAACGUUAUCCGGAGUUACUGGGCGUAAAGGGCGUGUAGGUGGUAGUGUAAGUCUGGCGUGAAAUUUUUCGGCUUAACCGGGAAAGGUCGUCGGAUACUGCACAACUAGAGGACGGUAGAGGCGUGUGGAAUUCCGGGUGUAGUGGUGAAAUGCGUAGAGAUCCGGAGGAACACCAGUGGCGCAGGCGACACGCUGGGCCGUACCUGACACUGAUGCGCGACAGCAUGGGGAGCAAACAGG
Molecule: ribosomal RNA, 253 nt
Filed under: uncultured bacterium
Lineage: Bacteria
Description: partial 16S ribosomal RNA
Rfam family: Bacterial small subunit ribosomal RNA
Source: RNAcentral